RNAcentral lists this unclassified non-coding RNA (1325 nucleotides) under Hevea brasiliensis (rubber tree). Lineage: Eukaryota; Viridiplantae; Streptophyta; Magnoliopsida; Malpighiales; Euphorbiaceae. The record is from RNAcentral.
CUUCCAGCGGUGGUCUGUAAAUUAUUCAGAGCCAUAAACCAAAAUGGAGGUGUGACGUAUAUACAUUGCACUGCUGGACUAGGAAGAGCUCCUGCUGUUGCAAUGGCAUACAUGUUUUGGGUUCAGGGCUACAAACUUGGUGAAGCUCAUGAUUUACUUCUGAGUAAGCGUUCAUGCUUCCCCAAGCUGGAUGCUAUAAAAAGUGCUACUGCCGAUAUAGUGAGUUGUUUCCCCUUCUCUUAUUAUUAUAAGAAUGAAGCCUUGAAUAUGGUUUUCUUUCAACAUAUUUUGAAUUCAUUUUUUCACUGUGUUGCGAAUGACUUAACAUUUUUAUUUUUUUGGUGAAAGUAAACCAUUAUGCAGUUUAUACAGCUGUGUGAUUGCUUUCCACCAUAUAGUUUCUGCAUAUACCUUACUAAGAAGUCCAAACGGCCUGCAGUUCUGAUUUGCAGCUAGGGUUCACCAGUUGCACAUGUAAUAGGUCAUCAUUUUACCAUGUGCAUUAUUUUUAAAUUUAAUGCUAAAUUUCAUAAUUUGAAAUGCUCUUGAUAAAACUUUUAAUGGAUUUUAUACUUUCGUCCAUUUUGUUUGAUGGGUUUACUUUCAGUGACAUUGAGGUGGGCAGGUCUUUCUAUAUGAUACAAUAGUCAAGCAAUUGUGUUUUGCAUUUCUGCAUGCUCUAAUUCUUAAUUGGCAAUUUUUAGGGUGUAUGAAAGCACUUAAGGAAAAUUUUAGCAAAAAUAACAUUGCAUGUUUCUUAAAAAAAAGUUUCUUUUGAAAGAAUUUAUGUUUCUUAAACACGUUUCUUUUGAAAGAAUUUCUGCGGUGGCAACUUGGAGAACUACCUAUGAGACUUGGUACAAAUGGACACUCCUUCACACGGAGAAUUGAAACUGUUCUUUUAUUUAUUUGUAUGUGAAAUUCUCCUGUCUAAAAAAUAAUGAUGGCUUUCAUUUUAAAAGUAUUUCAAUAAAUAAUUCUUUAUAUUAACUUUAUUUUUCCUUCCAAAGUACUUUAUACUUUUGUUUUCUGUUUGCCACCCUUAAUUUCACUAAUUGAUCAGUUAUAGGAGUAAUACUUUCUAAGAAUUGCAAGCUUAACGAUGUUACUUUCUGUCUUGAAAUUUUAACACCUUACAAACUACUUUAUUGCAUUUGUCUUAUUCAAAAGCUUACAGGUCUCAGGAAGAGGCUUGUUAAUCUGACGUGGAAAGGUGACAACUGCUCAACAGUGGAAAUUUCUGGACUUGAUAUUGGGUGGGGCCAGAGAAUACCUUUAAAAUUUGAUGAGGAAAAGGGAUUUUGGAUUCUCGAAAGGGACUUGUU